This 337-nucleotide unclassified non-coding RNA is filed under the name soil metagenome. Its description in RNAcentral is "partial contains 5.8S ribosomal RNA, internal transcribed spacer 2, and large subunit ribosomal RNA". The stretch from base 1 to 120 matches the Rfam family "5.8S ribosomal RNA", at positions 35 to 154 of the family's 154-position model. The record is from RNAcentral.
GAUGAAGAACGUAGCGAAAUGCGAUAAGUAGUGUGAAUUGCAGAAUUCAGUGAAUCAUCGAAUCUUUGAACGCACAUUGCGCCCUAUAGUAUUCUGUAGGGCAUGCAUGUUCGAGCGUCAUUUGUACCUUCAAGCUUUGCUUGGUGUUGGGUGUUUGUCCUCUCCCUGGUGUUUGGACUCGCCUUAAAACAAUUGGCAGCCAGUGUUUUGUUAUUGAAGCGCAGCACAAUUUGCGAUUCUGGCCUUAAAAUACUAGCGUCCAUAAGUACAUUCUCACUUUUGACCUCGGAUCAUGUAGGGAUACCCGCUGAACUUAAGCAUAUCAAUAAGCGGAGGA